Molecule: regulatory RNA element, 91 nt
Organism: Planomicrobium sp.
Lineage: Bacteria; Bacillati; Bacillota; Bacilli; Caryophanales; Caryophanaceae
Rfam family: pan motif
Source: Rfam
AGGGCGGUAUCAUUGUUGAACUGCACCUGCAACACCCAUUUUCAACAAAUGAAUAGUUCUGCCUUGAUCUUAAAAUGACAGGGACGGAGAA